UACGGAAGGCAGCGAGUGGGGAAUAUUGCACAAAUGGGCGCAAGCCUGAUGCAGCCAUGCCGCGUGUAUGAAGAAAGGCCUUCGGGUUUGUAAAGUACUUUCAGUCGUGAGGAAGGUGUUAAGGUUAAUAACCUUAGCAAUUGACGUUAGCGACAGAAGAAGCACCGGCUAACUCCGUGCCAGCAGCCGCGGUAAUACGGAGGGUGCGAGCGUUAAUCGGAAUUACUGGGCGUAAAAGGGCACGCAGGCGGUUAAUUAAGUUGGAUGUGAAAUCCCCGGGCUUAACCUGGGAAUGGCAUUCAAGACUGGUUAGCUAGAGUCUUGUAGAGGGGGUAGAAUUCCAUGUGUAGCGGUGAAAUGCGUAGAGAUGUGGAGGAAUACCGGUGGCGAAGGCGGCCCCCUGGGACAAAGGACUGACGCUCAUGUGCGAAAGCGUGGGGAGCAAACAGGAUUAGAUACC
Molecule: ribosomal RNA, 460 nt
Filed under: uncultured bacterium
Lineage: Bacteria
Description: bacterial SSU rRNA
Rfam family: Bacterial small subunit ribosomal RNA
Source: RNAcentral